Patella vulgata (common limpet) is the source of this 1560-nucleotide long non-coding RNA. RefSeq lists it as uncharacterized. The transcript is spliced from 4 exons. The record is from RefSeq and is a predicted model, not a curated record. Lineage: Eukaryota; Metazoa; Mollusca; Gastropoda; Patellidae.
GCACACGGUCCAUAACCUGGACUGUAUUUGGUCGUUCUCUUAAAGAGGAUUAAUUAAUUUUAUUAGUUUUCGUUUCGUCAGUUCCAACUUUCAAUGGAAUCAGAGGAGGUGAAUAACAACAAUAAUAAGGAGGGAACUACUAACAUCUUUAACAUCAGUAGUAAGGAGUCAUCUGUUCAGAUUGGCGAGAAAAACACCAUGAUGUCCGAAAUGCCGGAGGGAUUGUCAAUCAGAAUGGCGAAUAUUGAAAAACAAUUCUUAAGCCAGACAAAGUUGAUACGUGUUCAACUUUCGGAGAUGAAAAGAUCAAUCAUCAGCCAUUUGACAACAAAAAUUCGAAAAAGUCAAAGAAAGAUGAAACAGAAGAUUCGGUCGGAGAUAGAAAGACUCGGGAAGAAGAGGGGUAGGCAGAAGGUGAAGACGGUUAUAGCAAUGAUGAAGCGGAGGGAGAGGCAGAUGUGGACGAGGAAGUUUGUGAAGAUGCUUACAAUGAUGAAGAAGAGAGAGAGGGAAAUGGUGAAGGCGGUCAUGGUGAUAGUGAAGAUGAUGAUGCACGUCCCUAAAGUCAUCUGUAAUUUAAAGAUGCUUCGGAGGUGAGAAAACAAGAAUACCAUGGUUGGCUGCUACCUAAGGCGCAAUGAGUACGGUUGAAGAUGCGUCUCAGAAGUAAACGUUAUAAUAUACGCUCGCGUUUGAGUAAUAGCGCCGUAGAUGAUUGGUGCUAGAUAGCCCACAAUUAUAAUGUUCCUCUGAAAUGGGAGAAAGGGUGUAAAAUAAGGCCCACAGAUACGGUAACAUUCCCUUGUAAUACAAAAAGAGCGUUAAAGAGGUAGUCAUUCUUUAAAGUCUAUGCUUAUCUAAAAUAAAGUUCAAAUUUAAAAGGGCGCAGAUUUUUAAAAAAAAAUAUAUCGCAGUUUCUCGAAAACUUUCAUGAAUAUUUAAUGAAACUGGACGUAUUUAAUAAAAGGUAUUACUCACAUAUGUUUCCAUACUUUUAAAAUUUCGUUCCAGCUAGGUUUUGUGUGUUUCGCAGGUUUCCUUGGGUCGCUUAUUACAAGGAGUCUCGACGACGAUAUAAAGCGUUAUAACAUUUUGUUAACUUGUUUACCACGUUGCGAUUGCCUAACGUUAUAUCCAAACAAACAGUUUCACAAUACGACGGAUUUUUUUUUUUUUGGUUAAAAGCCGAGCUCGUAGGAUGAGUGCCUCUUUAAGCCCCACGUAAAUAGUGGUAAUUAUAAGUCAUGAAAUGGGAUUACGUAUUAUGAGCACAAAAUGUUGUUCUGCGUUAAAGAGGAUGUCACCCUUUUCAAAUUAAUGACCAAUGAUUGGACAGAUUUCACCAUUUAUCACUAAAACAAAAAUAUUACUGGCCACACACGAAACUUUUGUCUGUGACUUAAACAAUUUUGCGAACUGGAAGUUGUUUCAGAUAAACAGGGUGAGAUCCUUUUUAAGCCCACGUCUAAAGUGGAAAAAUUCAUAUUUUAUUAUGAUUAUAAAUGGAGCAAUAUCCCCUUUUAUAUGGGAAAACCAACCUGGAAUAAAAAGAAAAACAAA